This 162-nucleotide non-coding RNA is filed under the name chicken gut metagenome. RNAcentral describes it as "Lysine riboswitch". It matches the Rfam family "Lysine riboswitch aptamer". Rfam says of the family: Riboswitches are metabolite binding domains within certain messenger RNAs that serve as precision sensors for their corresponding targets. Allosteric rearrangement of mRNA structure is mediated by ligand binding, and this results in modulation of gene expression. The record is from RNAcentral.
GUUGAUAGAGGCGCGAAGAGAAAGAGUCACCGUCGGAGGGGGCGCCCGGAGAUGACGGUAAAAGGUCGAUUCGCCGAAACGGUUCAUCCGGCAGGAUAAGCCAGUUGGGCACAGAGAGAAUAUCCCUGUGACUCCUGCUUCAGCAAUGAAGUGGAGGAGCUA